This 426-nucleotide ribosomal RNA is filed under the name uncultured bacterium. RNAcentral's name for it is "bacterial SSU rRNA". It matches the Rfam family "Bacterial small subunit ribosomal RNA", at positions 354 to 796 of the family's 1533-position model. The record is from RNAcentral.
GUGGGGAAUCUUGCGCAAUGGGCGGAAGCCUGACGCAGCGACGCCGCGUGGGGGAUGACGGCCUUCGGGUUGUAAACCUCUUUCAGCAGGGACGAAGGUGACGUGUACCUGCAGAAGAAGCGCCGGCUAACUACGUGCCAGCAGCCGCGGUAAUACGUAGGGCGCGAGCGUUGUCCGGAAUUAUUGGGCGUAAAGAGCUCGUAGGUGGCUUGUCGCGUCUGCCGUGAAAGGCCUGGGCUUAACUCGGGUUUUGCGGUGGAUACGGGCUGGCUGGAGGUAGGUAGGGGAGAACGGAAUUCCUGGUGUAGCGGUGAAAUGCGCAGAUAUCAGGAGGAACACCGGUGGCGAAGGCGGUUCUCUGGGCCUUACCUGACGCUGAGGAGCGAAAGCGUGGGGAGCGAACAGGAUUAGAAACCCCAGUAGUCC